UACGUAGGGUGCAAGCGUUAAUCGGAAUUACUGGGCGUAAAGCGUGCGCAGGCGGUUUUGUAAGUCUGAUGUGAAAUCCCCGGGCUCAACCUGGGAAUUGCAUUGGAGACUGCAAGGCUAGAAUCUGGCAGAGGGGGGUAGAAUUCCACGUGUAGCAGUGAAAUGCGUAGAGAUGUGGAGGAACACCGAUGGCGAAGGCAGCCCCCUGGGUCAAGAUUGACGCUCAUGCACGAAAGCGUGGGGAACAAACAGG
RNAcentral lists this ribosomal RNA (253 nucleotides) under uncultured bacterium. Its description in RNAcentral is "partial 16S ribosomal RNA". It matches the Rfam family "Bacterial small subunit ribosomal RNA", at positions 524 to 776 of the family's 1533-position model. The record is from RNAcentral.